AAAUUGAAGAGUUUGAUCAUGGCUCAGAUUGAACGCUGGCGGCAGGCCUAACACAUGCAAGUCGAGCGGUAACACAGAGAGCUUGCUCUCGGGUGACGAGCGGCGGACGGGUGAGUAAUGUCUGGGAAACUGCCUGAUGGAGGGGGAUAACUACUGGAAACGGUAGCUAAUACCGCAUAACGUCGCAAGACCAAAGUGGGGGACCUUCGGGCCUCAUGCCAUCAGAUGUGCCCAGAUGGGAUUAGCUAGUAGGUGGGGUAAUGGCUCACCUAGGCGACGAUCCCUAGCUGGUCUGAGAGGAUGACCAGCCACACUGGAACUGAGACACGGUCCAGACUCCUACGGGAGGCAGCAGUGGGGAAUAUUGCACAAUGGGCGCAAGCCUGAUGCAGCCAUGCCGCGUGUAUGAAGAAGGCCUUCGGGUUGUAAAGUACUUUCAGCGAGGAGGAAGGCAUUAAGGUUAAUAACCUUGGUGAUUGACGUUACUCGCAGAAGAAGCACCGGCUAACUCCGUGCCAGCAGCCGCGGUAAUACGGAGGGUGCAAGCGUUAAUCGGAAUUACUGGGCGUAAAGCGCACGCAGGCGGUCUGUCAAGUCGGAUGUGAAAUCCCCGGGCUCAACCUGGGAACUGCAUUCGAAACUGGCAGGCUAGAGUCUUGUAGAGGGGGGUAGAAUUCCAGGUGUAGCGGUGAAAUGCGUAGAGAUCUGGAGGAAUACCGGUGGCGAAGGCGGCCCCCUGGACAAAGACUGACGCUCAGGUGCGAAAGCGUGGGGAGCAAACAGGAUUAGAUACCCUGGUAGUCCACGCCGUAAACGAUGUCGACUUGGAGGUUGUGCCCUUGAGGCGUGGCUUCCGGAGCUAACGCGUUAAGUCGACCGCCUGGGGAGUACGGCCGCAAGGUUAAAACUCAAAUGAAUUGACGGGGGCCCGCACAAGCGGUGGAGCAUGUGGUUUAAUUCGAUGCAACGCGAAGAACCUUACCUACUCUUGACAUCCAGAGAACUUAGCAGAGAUGCUUUGGUGCCUUCGGGAACUCUGAGACAGGUGCUGCAUGGCUGUCGUCAGCUCGUGUUGUGAAAUGUUGGGUUAAGUCCCGCAACGAGCGCAAC
Molecule: ribosomal RNA, 1110 nt
Filed under: Klebsiella aerogenes
Lineage: Bacteria; Pseudomonadati; Pseudomonadota; Gammaproteobacteria; Enterobacterales; Enterobacteriaceae
Description: bacterial SSU rRNA
Rfam family: Bacterial small subunit ribosomal RNA
Source: RNAcentral